AUACUCUCUCUCUCUCUCUCUCUCUUCCUCGCUCGCUCGCUUGCUCUGGCUCUCGGCGAUUGCUCCUUGGCGCGGCGGCGACCGGCGAUCGAAUCGACCCCGAAGGUUUUGUUGGGUACGGGUGGUAUGAUUUUUCUUGCUUGACUUUUAUUAUAUGGAGAAUUUGGAAAGACAUUUCUACAAAUACAGGGGUGUUUUCUAUUAGCUUGACGAUGGUUGUAUAAAGGAAGUCCAGUUGACCAUGUUCACAAGGCUCCCCUUUCUAGGAGUUUCUCUGUCUCUUUGUAUUAGUGAACACACGCUUGAAGAAAAGAUAGUGACCACCCUGACUCUGCUGGUGGGCUUUUUGAUGGUUGUUUUGUCAAUAUUGGAGAGACACGUAGUUAAUACUAUGUGCUUCUCACGGAGAAUAGAUGUACCAAUCUUAUAGGGAAUGAAAAUGUGUGCGGUAUUUGGAAAUUUCGUUAUUCUCUAUGUAAGUUUGUCAAUUCCAUUAUCAGGUUACUUAAUAGCCCGCUUCUUCUGUCUGCACUCUUCAUGAAGAUAAUUAAGGCCUUUUGCUAUAUCGAGAAUGAUAUU
Molecule: long non-coding RNA, 579 nt
Organism: Eucalyptus grandis
Lineage: Eukaryota; Viridiplantae; Streptophyta; Magnoliopsida; Myrtales; Myrtaceae
Exons: 3
Source: RefSeq, a predicted model, not a curated record